Molecule: ribosomal RNA, 273 nt
Filed under: Bacillus subtilis
Lineage: Bacteria; Bacillati; Bacillota; Bacilli; Caryophanales; Bacillaceae
Description: partial 16S ribosomal RNA
Rfam family: Bacterial small subunit ribosomal RNA
Source: RNAcentral
GGGGAAGACGUCAAAUCAUCAUGCCCCUUAUGACCUGGGGUACACACGUGGUACAAUGGACAGAACAAAGGGCAGGGAAACCGCGAGGUUAAGCCAAUCCCACAAAUCUGUUUUCAGUUCGGAUCGCAGUUUGCAACUUGACUGCGUGAAGCUGGAAUCGCUAGUAAUCGCGGAUCAGCAUGCCGCGGUGAAUACGUUCCCGGGCCUUGUACACACCGCCCGUCACACCACGAGAGUUUGUAACACCCGAAGUCGGGAGGUAACCUUUUAGCA